This 253-nucleotide ribosomal RNA is filed under the name uncultured bacterium. RNAcentral's name for it is "partial 16S ribosomal RNA". It matches the Rfam family "Bacterial small subunit ribosomal RNA", at positions 524 to 776 of the family's 1533-position model. The record is from RNAcentral.
GACAGAGGGUGCAAACGUUGUUCGGAAUUACUGGGCGUAAAGCGCGUGUAGGCGGCCCUGCAAGUCGGAUGUGAAAUCCCACGGCUCAACCGUGGAAGUGCAUUCGAAACUGCAGGGCUAGAGUCCUGGAGAGGAAGGUGGAAUGCUUGGUGUAGAGGUGAAAUGCGCAGAUAUCAGGAGGAACACCGAUGGCGAAGGCAGCUCGCUGGGACGGUACUGACGCUGAGGCGCGAAAGCGUGGGGAGCAAACAGG